RNAcentral lists this transfer RNA (189 nucleotides) under Endocarpon pusillum Z07020. It matches the Rfam family "tRNA". Rfam says of the family: Transfer RNA (tRNA) molecules are approximately 80 nucleotides in length. Their secondary structure includes four short double-helical elements and three loops (D, anti-codon, and T loops). Further hydrogen bonds mediate the characteristic L-shaped molecular structure. tRNAs have two regions of fundamental functional importance: the anti-codon, which is responsible for specific mRNA codon recognition, and the 3' end, to which the tRNAs corresponding amino acid is attached (by aminoacyl-tRNA synthetases). tRNAs cope with the degeneracy of the genetic code in two manners: having more than one tRNA (with a specific anti-codon) for a particular amino acid; and 'wobble' base-pairing, i.e. permitting non-standard base-pairing at the 3rd anti-codon position. Lineage: Eukaryota; Fungi; Ascomycota; Eurotiomycetes; Verrucariales; Verrucariaceae. The record is from Rfam by way of RNAcentral.
GCGGGUAUAGCUCAGUUGGUAAAUCAUCUCAAUUAUAAUUUUGAGAAAUCCCAGCUAAUCUUGGGUAGGGAGAGCGUCAGGUACUUAGCACUGAUCACUUGAAUUCUCCAUUCACUAAUAAUUAAACAGACUGAAGUUCAAGUCAGCCAUUUAAUCUGAAGGUCAUGUGUUCGAUCCACAUUAGCCGCA